CUACGGGCGGCACCAGUGGGGAAUAUUGGACAAUGGGGGAAACCCUGAUCCAGCAAUGCCGCGUGUGUGAAGAAGGCCUGCGGGUUGUAAAGCACUUUCGGUUGGGAGGACUGCUUCUAGCACUAAUAUUGUUGGAAGUUGACGUUACCUUCAGAAGAAGCACCGGCUAACUCCGUGCCAGCAGCCGCGGUAAUACGGAGGGUGCAAGCGUGAAUCGGAAUUACUGGGCGUAAAGCGCGCGGAGGCGGCUAGAUCAGUCGGGUGUGAAAGCCCCGGGCUUAACCUGGGAUCUGCAUCCGAUACUGUCUAGCUUGAGUACAGGAGAGGAGGGUGGAAUUCCACAUGUAGCGGUGAAAUGCGUAGAUAUGUGGAGGAACACCAAUGGCGAAGGCAGCUCUCUGGCCUGAUACUGACGCUGAGGUGCGAAAGCGUGGGGAGCAAACAGGAUUAGAUACCCGAGUAGUC
RNAcentral lists this ribosomal RNA (465 nucleotides) under uncultured bacterium. Its description in RNAcentral is "partial 16S ribosomal RNA". It matches the Rfam family "Bacterial small subunit ribosomal RNA", at positions 339 to 795 of the family's 1533-position model. The record is from RNAcentral.